AACGAACGCUGGCGGCAGGCCUAAUACAUGCAAGUCGAACGCUCCAGCAAUGGAGAGUGGCAGACGGGUGAGUAACGCGUGGGAACCUUCCCAGUGGUACGGAAUAGCUCAGGGAAACUUGAGGUAAUACCGUAUACGCCCUUCGGGGGAAAGAUUUAUCGCCAUUGGAUGGGCCCGCGUCGGAUUAGCUAGUUGGUGGGGUAAUGGCCCACCAAGGCGACGAUCCGUAGCUGGUCUGAGAGGAUGAUCAGCCACACUGGGACUGAGACACGGCCCAGACUCCUACGGGAGGCAGCAGUAGGGAAUAUUGGACAAUGGGCGAAAGCCUGAUCCAGCCAUGCCGCGUGAGUGACGAAGGCCUUCGGGUUGUAAAGCUCUUUUGGCGGGGACGAUAAUGACGGUACCCGCAGAAUAAGCUCCGGCUAACUUCGUGCCAGCAGCCGCCGUAA
Molecule: ribosomal RNA, 449 nt
Filed under: uncultured bacterium
Lineage: Bacteria
Description: partial 16S ribosomal RNA
Rfam family: Bacterial small subunit ribosomal RNA
Source: RNAcentral